CUGACUUGGGGCCGGCCGCGGGCAGGCGGGCAUCUGGCGGCCGAGGCCGGGACUUCGGGGCCCCUCCCGGGCGAGUCGCGGGGCGGCGGCGGGAAGGGGCGCCGCACGGAGGAAGUGCCCUCUUGGCCGCAGCCAGAGCCGCGCCGCAGGUGCCGCGAUGUCGUCCUGGCCGGGGCGCGAGGAUGCGAGGGCUGGGGGCGCGUGGUGGCCGCGGGAGCCGCUGGAUCAGGAACUGCAGCGGGCCCGGGAGCAGAAGCGGCGGCGGCACGACGCCCAGCAGCUGCAGCAGCUCAAGCGCCUGGAGUCCUUCUCCUCGCCCCCGCUUUGGUGUGGGCGUCGCCUCUUUUGGGGAAGCCAAGAGUUAUUGGCGCUUGCUCGGCAUUUGUGGACCGAACAGGCAAGUUCAACCGAGCACGCUGCCCCCGCGCUCCACCUCUGAGUUCCCUGGGCCACUGCGACAUGGAGAAACCCCGUUCUUUUCAUCCUCUGCUACGGAGAAGGGACGAGGACACGGGUCCUGCAGUGUUGGUGUGGCGAGGCCCGGAAGAAGAGAGAAUGGGCGGCGGGGACUGGCCACGGCGCUGCUAGAGAAAGGGUCUCACCUGUGGCCAGGAGCGGUGGCUCACGCCUGUAAUCCCAGCACUUUGAGAGGCCGCGGUGGACAGAUCACGAGGUCAGUAGUUCGAGACCAGCCUGAGCAACAUGUUGAAACCCCGUCUCUACUAAAAACAAAAAAAAUUAUCCGGGCGUGAUAGUGCGCACCUGUAAUCCCAGCUACUCAAGUUAUGAAAAACCUCCUCCUGGGCUUAUCAAGAGGUUGGCAUUGCAAAUGGUAUGGUCACCGAACAGGCUACAAAGAAUGCCCUUUCUUUAUCAAAGACAACCAAAAGUUACAACAGUUCAGAGUAAGGCACAUGAGGAUUUCAUGUAUGACAUCAUACGAGACAAUAAACAACAUGAAAAGAAUGUAAGAGGAUACAGCAGUUAAAACAGUUACUGGAGGAUUCUACCUCAGGUGAAGAUAGGAGCAGCUCCAGUUCCUCUGAAGGUAAAGAGAAACACAAGAAAAAGAAGAAGAAAGAAAAGCAUAAGAAAAGGAAGAAAGAAAAGAAAAAGAAGAAAAAACGGAAGCACAAAUCUUCCAAGUCAAAUGAGGGUUCUGACUCAGAGUGACAAGGAUGUGACUUGUUCAACAUUCUCUUCUCAAACACUGACCAAGGAACAGAGGAAGAUGCAGUCAGAGAAAGUAGCAGGAUAGAGACGCCGAGAGAGGAGUAUAUGUGGGUCACAGCAGUGAGCUCCCACCCGCCUUGCAGUGAAGAUGUGACCCCAGGAGAGGGAGUGUCUCCUUCCAGGUGCUAGCUCUGGACAGCAGCUGAUUUUAGGCAGGAAAGUUUCUUCAUCGUUGUCCUCCCUGCUGGUCACAUGAGUUUACGAUUCCUUAGAAGUGUCUCCCACAGGGUGGCAGGACUGGGAGAAUCUCUGAGGCGUGUCUUCCAGGCCCUCCCACAGCUUGUGCCCUCCACAGUGUAGACUUGAACACUUGGCCUCAUGUGAUCCUUCCACCUUGGCCUCCCAAAGCAUUGGGAUUACAGGCGAGAGCCACUGGUUGGCUAAAAUAUUUAUAUUUACCUGACAUGAUUUGUUGAUUUGGGGGCUAGGGAGUUCUUAAAACAACAAUAAAAAAUCUUCUGUGGCUGCAGCUCCUAUAGACAGACUACAGGGGAAAAAUCCCAGAGCCCCUACAAAUCCAUCUCCAAACUCAAAUGAGAACUGAGCUCAAAAAGCCCACUAGCAAACCAGAAGUGUGCUAGCCACCCACUUAAACUUUCUUUUUCAGACAUCUCUUUCAGAUAUACAUUUUCCAUUACUAUCCAGGGAGACAAAAUAAGCCCUUAAACCUCCCUUCACUCAGACAUCGUAUGAUGAAUGUCAGACAUCCUACUGAUAUGGUUUGGAUGUUUGUCCGCUCCAAAUCUCAUGAUGAAAUGUAAUCCCCAGUGUUGGAGAUGAGGCCUGGUGGGAGGUGUCUGGAUGAUGGGGGCAGAUCCCUCAUGAAUGGGUUAGUGCCAUCCCCUUGGUGAUGAGUCAGUUCACACCAGAUCUGGUUGUUUAAGUGUGAGUGGCACCUCUCCCUCCCUCUUUUGCUCUGGCUGUUGCUGUCACCAUGUGAUAUGCUGGCUCCUCAUUGCCUUCCACCGUGACUGUAAACUUCUUGAGGCCUCACCGGAAAGAUAUUCCAGCACCACACUUCUCGUACUGUCUGCAGAACCUUGAGCCAGGCAGGUGUCUUUUCUUUAUAAAUUACCCAGGCUAAAAUGGCAUCAUGAUUUCUCCCACUAAUCUUCAGACUGUUAAUAGGAUGCACUUUACUCCUGUGACUAGAUUGUGUUACCAGUACAAGGAAAGGGAGACCACCUGGGUGUUCCUAACCAAAUCAUGAGAACCCUCUGGAACUCGAUUUGUCCCUGGCUGUUAACCAAAGAGGAGGUCAGAGAGUCCAAGCCUGUGAAAGAUUCCACGCAUCAUUACUGGUUUUAGAGUUGAAGGGGCCACAUGGUGAGGGAUGCAGCAA
This 2575-nucleotide long non-coding RNA is filed under the name Homo sapiens (human). RNAcentral describes it as "non-protein coding lnc-KBTBD2-2:2". The record is from RNAcentral. Lineage: Eukaryota; Metazoa; Chordata; Mammalia; Primates; Hominidae.